UACGAAGGGGGCGAGCGUUGUUCGGAUUUACUGGGCGUAAAGCGCGCGCAGGCGGUUCUUCAAGUCAGGGGUGAAAUCCUGGAGCUCAACUCCAGAACUGCCUUUGAUACUGAGAGCCUUCGAGUCCGGGAGAGGUGAGUGGAACUGCGAGUGUAGAGGUGAAAUUCGUAGAUAUUCGCAAGAACACCAGUGGCGAAGGCGGCUCACUGGCCCGGUACUGACGCUGAGGUGCGAAAGCGUGGGGAGCAAACGGG
Molecule: ribosomal RNA, 254 nt
Filed under: uncultured bacterium
Lineage: Bacteria
Description: partial 16S ribosomal RNA
Rfam family: Bacterial small subunit ribosomal RNA
Source: RNAcentral